This is a long non-coding RNA of Sorghum bicolor (sorghum), 731 nucleotides long. RefSeq lists it as uncharacterized. The transcript has 5 exons. Lineage: Eukaryota; Viridiplantae; Streptophyta; Magnoliopsida; Poales; Poaceae. The record is from RefSeq and is a predicted model, not a curated record.
CCCCCGCGUGGUCACCUUUCUUCCAUGAGCACGACCUGCUCCAGUGGACUCGCUCCCCAGCGCUGACCCUUUCCUGCUCCCCGUCGCCGCCUCCCUGCACCGCCACCUGGAUAGCGCCGUGGGCGCCGCCGCAUCCAUGGGGCGGCCUAGAUCCAGGGUGGGGAUAGCAAUGAGAAGGGUGGAGGUGGUUCUAGGGGAAGCAUCUUUAUAAAGGCUGCAACGAUGUUUAACACUUCUACAUUCAUUGGAGAUCUGCAUGCCAAAGAUGUACUACAUGUUACUUCUAUAGCAAUGCUAGGGAUAGUUCUUCAUACAAUGUCUAGAGGGCAGGGAUUUUGUGGAGUAUGUGUGCCGGUGUCCAAAUGGCAGCAACGAGGUGUGAUGGUCUCUCAAGCAUCAACAUGGGAUAAAAUGAACAAAGAGAGCCAUGUGUGCAAGCGGGAUGCAUGGUGGAUCAGUAUAUAUAUUACCAACACAAGGAGAUUUAGUCCAAACAAGAUGUAUUUCUAUCGUAGUAGUACAUAAUAUCUACCUUUUCGUCUAUGUAUUCUAUAAGAAGCCUGAGUUGCUAUACAAAACAUCUCAAGGUGCCCAAAAUGACAUAUGUGGAUUGUUAUACGAAAUAUCUCAAGAUGCCCAAAAUGUCAUGUGUGAUGAAUAGUUUAUAUUUGAUUUCGGCUUAUUUUGGUGAAUGUAUCAAAUUUGUAAUAUUUGGGAUAUGAGCUAAAUAA